UUGUGUUUUGUGUGAUGUUCCUAGAGAUUGCUUGUCGUCUUCUGUUUUGAUUUACCGUUUGGAUUUUCGAUGGAUCUUUGAAUCUGGACAUUUAAGUUUAGGCAGUCUCAAGUGGACACUCAAAGAAAUGCUGUUGUUUUUCACACCUGCAUUGGCUUCAUUUUUUGAACGCCAGCGGAUGCAGCUUUAGCCAGAGUCGAUUUGUUUGGGUGUUUUUGGAGGAGGAUCAGGGCAGUCUGUUUGAUGCAAGGCCAGCAGGCAUGCGUGAGACCCCCACUGUGGAGGAUAAGUCAGCUCCAUCAUGUUCCAAACACAAAAAUCUGAUCUGCAGGUGGUUGGAGGAGGCAGAAUGACAGCCAUAUGGACACAGUCAUCAGGCCACCUGGAGCCCUGUUAUACUUGUUUGUUUUUCUGCCUGAAAAGGCAUCCAUUUGUUUCUUUGCCGCUUUGGUGUUUUUAGUCAUUUCUCUGUAAAUAAUUGAAGGACUAUUGUCUAGACCUGCUCAAAUUGUAAAAUGUCAUGAGACAACUUUUUUUUGUAAGAAGGCGCAUCGACAUCUGUUUUGUAUCAGAAAACUCUCUAGUCUUCACAUUGAUAAAACUUGGAUGAUUUUGUUUUAUAGAGCUUUCAUUGAAUCAAUUAUUUUGUUUCACG
Molecule: long non-coding RNA, 655 nt
Organism: Labrus mixtus (cuckoo wrasse)
Lineage: Eukaryota; Metazoa; Chordata; Actinopteri; Labriformes; Labridae
Exons: 3
Source: RefSeq, a predicted model, not a curated record